UUGAGUUUGGAAAUUGUUUCA
Molecule: small nuclear RNA, 21 nt
Filed under: Arabidopsis thaliana (thale cress)
Lineage: Eukaryota; Viridiplantae; Streptophyta; Magnoliopsida; Brassicales; Brassicaceae
Description: snRNA_14901
Source: RNAcentral